UACGUAGGCAGCAAGCGUUGUUCGGAGUUACUGGGCGUAAAGGGUGCGUAGGCGGCCUCUUAAGUUUGGUGUGAAAUCUCCCGGCUCAACUGGGAGGGUGCGCCGGAAACUGAGAGGCUAGAGUGUGGGAGAGGAGAGUGGAAUUCCUGGUGUAGCGGUGAAAUGCGUAGAUAUCAGGAGGAACACCGGUGGCGCAAGCGGCUCUCUGGACCACCACUGACGCUGAGGCACGAAAGCGUGGGGAGCAAACAGG
RNAcentral lists this ribosomal RNA (253 nucleotides) under uncultured bacterium. Its description in RNAcentral is "partial 16S ribosomal RNA". It matches the Rfam family "Bacterial small subunit ribosomal RNA", at positions 524 to 776 of the family's 1533-position model. The record is from RNAcentral.